This 501-nucleotide long non-coding RNA is filed under the name Trifolium pratense (red clover). RNAcentral's name for it is "long non-coding RNA (TPRA_LNC011568)". The record is from RNAcentral. Lineage: Eukaryota; Viridiplantae; Streptophyta; Magnoliopsida; Fabales; Fabaceae.
CCCAAUGGGCCUUGUGUGUGUGAGGUGGCGCCAUAUGGCCAUGAAGCAAGGGAGAAACAUUUCAUUUUCUCAUAGUUCUUGUGUUCUUGAGUUGAAGAGAGGAGAGCUUAGGAGCUACGGCAAGAAGAAAAGCUAGAGAUUCGAGAUCUUCGUCGAGUUUUCUUCGAAUCCAGGUAUGAGAGUAGUUUCCUUAAUCGUGGGUGAUUCGAGGAAGGGGAGAAUGUCGAUUUCUCCUCACCCGAACUUCCUCCACCCCAUUUUUCGUUUUAUCUUGAAAUGGAUUUUCUUGAUGAAAAUCGUUUCUAAGGUUCUUGAUAUGUUUAACAUGCUUUUAACAUGAUUAAUGAGCGGAAAUCAUGGUUAAAAACGAGUUUUCUAACAGAUUAAACUCAAGAACUUUGUGUUCUUGAGAGUUUUGAUGAAAAAGUGUCAAUCUUUACUUUUUCGAUGUUUAUGACGUAGAUCUGAGAAAUGAACUAUCCUUUUGUGUUUAUCUAUGUN